AGAGUUUGAUCCUGGCUCAGGAUGAACGCUAGCUACAGGCUUAACACAUGCAAGUCGAGGGGCAUCAGGAAGAAAGCUUGCUUUCUUUGCUGGCGACCGGCGCACGGGUGAGUAACACGUAUCCAACCUGCCCUUUACUCGGGGAUAGCCUUUCGAAAGAAAGAUUAAUACCCGAUAGCAUAAUGAUUCCGCAUGGUUUCAUUAUUAAAGGAUUCCGGUAAAGGAUGGGGAUGCGUUCCAUUAGGUUGUUGGUGAGGUAACGGCUCACCAAGCCUUCGAUGGAUAGGGGUUCUGAGAGGAAGGUCCCCCACAUUGGAACUGAGACACGGUCCAAACUCCUACGGGAGGCAGCAGUGAGGAAUAUUGGUCAAUGGGCGCUAGCCUGAACCAGCCAAGUAGCGUGAAGGAUGAAGGCUCUAUGGGUCGUAAACUUCUUUUAUAUAAGAAUAAAGUGCAGUAUGUAUACUGUUUUGUAUGUAUUAUAUGAAUAAGGAUCGGCUAACUCCGUGCCAGCAGCCGCGGUAAUACGGAGGAUCCGAGCGUUAUCCGGAUUUAUUGGGUUUAAAGGGAGCGUAGGUGGACUGGUAAGUCAGUUGUGAAAGUUUGCGGCUCAACCGUAAAAUUGCAGCUGAUACUGUCAGUCUUGAGUACAGUAGAGGUGGGCGGAAUUCGUGGUGUAGCGGUGAAAUGCUUAGAUAUCACGAAGAACUCCGAUUGCGAAGGCAGCUCACUGGACUGCAACUGACACUGAUGCUCGAAAGUGUGGGUAUCAAACAGGAUUAGAUACCCUGGUAGUCCACACAGUAAACGAUGAAUACUCGCUGUUUGCGAUAUACAGUAAGCGGCCAAGCGAAAGCAUUAAGUAUUCCACCUGGGGAGUACGCCGGCAACGGUGAAACUCAAAGGAAUUGACGGGGGCCCGCACAAGCGGAGGAACAUGUGGUUUAAUUCGAUGAUACGCGAGGAACCUUACCCGGGCUUAAAUUGCAGUGGAAUGAUGUGGAAACAUGUCAGUGAGCAAUCACCGCUGUGAAGGUGCUGCAUGGUUGUCGUCAGCUCGUGCCGUGAGGUGUCGGCUUAAGUGCCAUAACGAGCGCAACCCUUAUCUUUAGUUACUAACAGGUUAUGCUGAGGACUCUAGAGAGACUGCCGUCGUAAGAUGUGAGGAAGGUGGGGAUGACGUCAAAUCAGCACGGCCCUUACGUCCGGGGCUACACACGUGUUACAAUGGGGGGUACAGAAGGCAGCUAGCGGGUGACCGUAUGCUAAUCCCAAAAUCCUCUCUCAGUUCGGAUCGAAGUCUGCAACCCGACUUCGUGAAGCUGGAUUCGCUAGUAAUCGCGCAUCAGCCACGGCGCGGUGAAUACGUUCCCGGGCCUUGUACACACCGCCCGUCAAGCCAUGGGAGCCGGGGGUACCUGAAGUACGUAACCGCAAGGAUCGUCCUAGGGUAAAACUGGUGACUGGGGCUAAGUCGUAACAAGGUAGCCGUACCGGAAGGUGCGGCUG
RNAcentral lists this ribosomal RNA (1509 nucleotides) under Bacteroides fragilis. RNAcentral describes it as "bacterial SSU rRNA". It matches the Rfam family "Bacterial small subunit ribosomal RNA". The record is from RNAcentral. Lineage: Bacteria; Pseudomonadati; Bacteroidota; Bacteroidia; Bacteroidales; Bacteroidaceae.